Molecule: ribosomal RNA, 517 nt
Filed under: uncultured bacterium
Lineage: Bacteria
Description: bacterial SSU rRNA
Rfam family: Bacterial small subunit ribosomal RNA
Source: RNAcentral
UAGUCCACGCCGUAAACGAUGGUUACUAGCUGUUUGGAAUUUAUUCUGAGUGGCUAAGCGAAAGUGAUAAGUAACCCACCUGGGGAGUACGUUCGCAAGAAUGAAACUCAAAGGAAUUGACGGGGGCCCGCACAAGCGGUGGAGCAUGUGGUUUAAUUCGAUGAUACGCGAGGAACCUUACCAGGGCUUAAAUGUAGGUUGCAUAGAGUAGAGAUAUUCUUUUCUUCGGACUACUUACAAGGUGCUGCAUGGUUGUCGUCAGCUCGUGCCGUGAGGUGUCAGGUUAAGUCCUAUAACGAGCGCAACCCCUGUUGUUAGUUACCAGCGCGUUAAGGCGGGGACUCUAGCAAGACUGCCGGUGCAAACCGUGAGGAAGGUGGGGAUGACGUCAAAUCAUCACGGCCCUUACGUCCUGGGCUACACACGUGCUACAAUGGUAGGUACAGAGAGCAGCCACAACGCGAGUUGGAGCGAAUCUACAAAACCUAUCACAGUUCGGAUCGGAGUCUGCAACUCG